GUUCAUUUCUUCACUUGGGUAGCACAUAUACUUAAGGUGGAAUGAUAGAGAGAUUAGCAUGAUUCCCGAUCAAGGAUGACAUUCAAAUUCACGAAGCAGUCCAUGUUUUU
Molecule: non-coding RNA, 110 nt
Organism: Mesocricetus auratus (golden hamster)
Lineage: Eukaryota; Metazoa; Chordata; Mammalia; Rodentia; Cricetidae
Source: Rfam